RNAcentral lists this long non-coding RNA (2036 nucleotides) under Gallus gallus (chicken). RNAcentral describes it as "lncRNA (ENSGALG00010011528.1)". The record is from RNAcentral. Lineage: Eukaryota; Metazoa; Chordata; Aves; Galliformes; Phasianidae.
ACUGAAAGAAGAGUCACUGCAGAUCAGGGCUUUGUCCAGCUGAGCUUUGAGUUUCCCUAGAGCUCAUCAACACCUUCUUUUCCAGUUUCCAGCCCCCACAGUGAAGAAAUAUUCCUCACGUCUGAACUGAAAAUCCUGUGCUCCAACUUUUGACUGUUUCUCAUCAUAUCAAUACACACCUCUUGAGGAUAACCCAAAGCCUUCUCUGCAGGCUGAACAGGCCUCAGCCCCUUCAGACACCUUGUGGUCCAGCAACCUGGCCAGCGUGGUGUCUUCUGCAGGACUCAAACCCAUUUGCCAAUACCUUUCAAGUGCUGGAGUAAUCCAAAGUGCACGUGUGGAUGCAGUCUGAGAUGCAGUCUCACGUGUGACAAAUCAGUGGGGAAAAUUGUUUCCCAUAACCUUUCCCUGCACUGCUGAGGUGAAUGCCUGCUCCUCCAGGUGUCACUGGUGAGAAUCCUGUGCAUUUCCUCCAAGUGCUUCAGGUUGCCAUAGUUUCUGCUUUGAGUUUUCAGUGUCUCUUUUUCAGCCAAUUUUCCUGCCACUAUUUUUUUUUUUUACCCCAGCAUGUCUUUACAACUUCCAGUUAUGUGAUUUUUGAGACCAGCUGGAACAUAAAAGCUCAGAGCUGAAGAAUAAAUAAAAUGGUUGCUUUCAGAACUUAGCAGACUAAAUUCUCUUCUCUGCUAGCUAUCUGUUGAAGUCAGGGUCAUUACAUCUACUUAAACCAGCUGAGAAUUUGAUCAAGUAUUUGACCACAGCUUCAGAUCACACCAGGUGAGGGACCAGGGUUCCUGGGGAAAUCUGUAGUAUUCCAAUUAUGCCGAGUAUUAAAUUUAGACACACACUUACUUUUUAACAGCAUUGACCAAAUUGCGUUUUCCAAACUGUAACAAUCUCUCCUCCCUGCUGAAGCCUGGCUCCUCACAUUAGUCUCCACGGUAUUUUUUGCCAAAGAACAGGCAAAAAAGGUCACAGAAUAAACCUUUAUUUGUAACCAUUGUAUUUGAAGGGCUUUGGUACCAAAAUAGAAUGACAUUGCAUAUUUUUGUAGGGUUUAUGAAGAAUAUAGUAUGUCCAUAAAGCUUCCUUUCAGCCUUCCUGGAUGAUAUAAGGAGCCACUUCUUAAUGCUGAGCUGGGCUUCAGGGUAAACUUUUUCCUUUCAGCAUCUCCUCUGAGUACAAUGGGCAUGAAAACAGAUUUACCCUCCAGAAGCGUGUACAACUUUUUCCUCCUGAGAUUAAGCAUAAAACACUGCUUUAAGGUUUCACUAACAGUAAGGCAGAGUAAGUAGUGAUAAUCAAAGGAGAGGGGUUAGGGCUCUGAAAGCUUAUACAGUUAUUGGUGUACUUUGUCAUAUGAAAAUCAUAAUGGAUGUAAUUCUGGUUUCAUGAAUGCCAAUGGGAGAUUUGUCACAGGUUUGAGUGAUGUCAUGAACUCAUACCAUUUCUCAGGCUGACAGUAGAUUUUCUAUAUCCUAUUUGGUAUUCUUGGUGUGAACUUAAAGAUCUUACAAUUAACUUCAUUUUAGUUUAGAAGAUGUAUUUUUUCCUCUCUUUUUACUGUCUUCUGCUGCAUCUUGGUAGAUUUCCUAAAUAUACUGCAAAAUCAUUAUGUGCAGGAAAUAUUUUUGUUUGAAGUGUAUUACUAACAUUUUUUCAUGUGAAUACAUACACACAUGCAUAUACACUCACGUGUGUAUAAGAAUCUUUUAUCAAACAUUAAAAUUAUAUUGUGGGUAUUAAAAAGAAUUCUGUUUUCUCUACUCACCAUGAAGCCUAUUUUCUCCUCAUAACUACAGCAAACUCUAUUGACCUCUGGAGACUCGCACUUACAUUGCAUAUUGCCUGUUAAAACAAUUGGAAAAGCAACUACCCACUUAAGCAGACGCUGCACUGAUUUGUCUGAGAUUUUGUUCCUAAAUCCUUAAAUGAAUUUUGAGAUCAAAUGGUGACAAGCCAAGUAAUAUAUUUCUUACUGCCAGAUUAAACUAGAAAAAAUUAUAUCCCCUCCUCUUUCUCUAAAUAGUCCUUUU